RNAcentral lists this long non-coding RNA (826 nucleotides) under Marmota monax (woodchuck). Lineage: Eukaryota; Metazoa; Chordata; Mammalia; Rodentia; Sciuridae. The record is from RNAcentral.
CCAGAAUAUCAGGAGUCAUCUUCAUUCAUUUAUGUCUCAAGGCUGAUGCUGGCUGAGGCCUCAGCUGGGCUAUUGGCUGGCACAUCUGCACAGUAGACUCUCUGAAUGGGCCAGCUGGGACUUCCUCGAUGCUUGGAGGCUGAGUCUCAAGCAAAUCAGACUGAAGUGCAUGGCGUUUUUAUGACUGAGUGUCAGAAAUCACACAGAAUCCCUUCCGUUGCAGUCUGUGGGUCAAACCAGUCACAAAGGUUGCCUAAGCUGGGCGCAAUGGCACUCACCUGGAAUCCAGGCAACUCAGGAGGCUGAGGCAGGAGGAUUGCAAGUUUGAGACCAGGCUGGGCAUCCUAAGGAGACCCUGCCUCAAAAUAGAAUUUGAAAAGACCAAGGAUGUAGCUCCGGUGGUAGAGUGGCCCUGGGUUAACCCCCAGGACCUCACAAACACAAGAACAGCACAGACUUGAGCUGGAGGGUCGCCCAGUGCUGCUGUUUACAUCUGGAAUUUCCCUCAAAGGCGCAUUUAUUGACAGCCUGGUCCCCAGCCCAGGGCACUACUGGGGAGGAGAGGUGCACCCUUUAAGAGGGGUCACCUUGGGUCGCUGUGCGGUGCCCUCAGGGAUGUGGGAGCCUAGUCUCUUCCUGUCUUCACUUCUCAGUAGCCCCGAGGAGAGCAGCCCGGCUGCCCACCUGCUCCCACCGUGGGAGGCCAACUGACAGGGACUGGAGCCCCCGGCCACCAAAAUAGACCUUUCCUCUUUAUAAACUGAUCACCUCAGAUCUUUAUUGAUUAGUAACGAAGGCUGACACACAUCCAGGCGCAAGGGCAGGC